GCAUUAAUGGGGUAGUGGUAACCUGGGUCGUUGCCAUGAUUCGAACGUCGUGAGUUCGACCCGCCGGGGGUUCGAUUCCCCCUUAAUGCA
Molecule: non-coding RNA, 90 nt
Organism: Cristinia sonorae
Lineage: Eukaryota; Fungi; Basidiomycota; Agaricomycetes; Agaricales; Stephanosporaceae
Source: the annotation of a GenBank genome assembly